RNAcentral lists this ribosomal RNA (253 nucleotides) under uncultured bacterium. Its description in RNAcentral is "partial 16S ribosomal RNA". It matches the Rfam family "Bacterial small subunit ribosomal RNA", at positions 524 to 776 of the family's 1533-position model. The record is from RNAcentral.
GACGGAGGGUGCUAGCGUUGUUCGGAAUUACUGGGCGUAAAGGGCGCGUAGGCGGCUGCUCAAGUCGGGUGUGAAAGCCCGGGGCUCAACCCCGGAACGGCACCCGAGACUGGGCGGCUCGAGACCGGGAGAGGUGGGUGGAAUACCCAGUGUAGAGGUGAAAUUCGUAGAUAUUGGGUGGAACACCGGUGGCGAAGGCGGGUCUCUGGGCCGAUACUGACGCUGAGGAGCGAAAGCGUGGGGAGCAAACAGG